GGGGCGGUAGCUCAAUCUGGCAGAGCAUCGGACUUUUAAUCCGACGGUUGCGGGUUCGAAUCCCGUCCGCCCCG
This 74-nucleotide transfer RNA is filed under the name Candidatus Woesearchaeota archaeon. RNAcentral's name for it is "tRNA-Lys". It matches the Rfam family "tRNA". Rfam says of the family: Transfer RNA (tRNA) molecules are approximately 80 nucleotides in length. Their secondary structure includes four short double-helical elements and three loops (D, anti-codon, and T loops). Lineage: Archaea; Nanobdellati; Candidatus Woesearchaeota. The record is from RNAcentral.